Molecule: ribosomal RNA, 402 nt
Filed under: uncultured bacterium
Lineage: Bacteria
Description: partial 16S ribosomal RNA
Rfam family: Bacterial small subunit ribosomal RNA
Source: RNAcentral
UGGGGAAUAUUGGACAAUGGGCGAAAGCCUGAUCCAGCCAUGCCGCAUGAGUGAAGAAGGCCUUUGGGUUGUAAUGCUCUUUUAGUGAGGAAGAUAAUGACGGUACUCACAGAAGAAGUCCUGGCUAACUCCGUGCCAGCAGCCGCGGUAAUACGGAGAGGGCUAGCGUUAUUCGGAAUUAUUGGGCGUAAAGGGCGCGUAGGCUGGUUAAUAAGUUAAAAGUGAAAUCCCGAGGCUUAACCUUGGAAUUGCUUUUAAAACUAUUAAUCUAGAGAUUGAAAGAGGAUAGAGGAAUUCCUGAUGUAGAGGUAAAAUUCGUAAAUAUUAGGAGGAACACCAGUGGCGAAGGCGUCUAUCUGGUUCAAAUCUGACGCUGAAGCGCGAAGGCGUGGGGAGCAAACA